GAUGAACGCUGGCGGCGUGCCUAAUACAUGCCAGUCGAGCGAACGGACGAGAAGCUUGCUUCUCUGAUGUUAGCGGCGGACGGGUGAGUAACACGUGGAUAACCUACCUAUAAGACUGGGAUAACUUCGGGAAACCGGAGCUAAUACCGGAUAAUAUUUUGAACCGCAUGGUUCAAAAGUGAAAGACGGUCUUGCUGUCACUUAUAGAUGGAUCCGCGCUGCAUUAGCUAGUUGGUAAGGUAGCGGCUUACCAAGGCAACGAUGCAUAGCCGACCUGAGAGGGUGAUCGGCCACACUUGAACUGAGACACGGUCCAGACUCCUACGGGAGGCAGCAGUAGGGAAUCUUCCGCAAUGGGCGAAAGCCUAACGGAGCAACGCCGCGUGAGUGAUGAAGGUCUUCGGAUCGUAAAACUCUGUUAUUAGGGAAGAACAUAUGUGUAAGUAACUGUGCACAUCUUGACGGUACCUAAUCAGAAAGCCACGGCUAACUACGUG
This 497-nucleotide ribosomal RNA is filed under the name uncultured bacterium. Its description in RNAcentral is "partial 16S ribosomal RNA". It matches the Rfam family "Bacterial small subunit ribosomal RNA", at positions 28 to 507 of the family's 1533-position model. The record is from RNAcentral.